RNAcentral lists this transfer RNA (74 nucleotides) under Elusimicrobiaceae bacterium. Its description in RNAcentral is "tRNA-Met". It matches the Rfam family "tRNA". From Rfam's summary of the family: Transfer RNA (tRNA) molecules are approximately 80 nucleotides in length. Their secondary structure includes four short double-helical elements and three loops (D, anti-codon, and T loops). The record is from RNAcentral. Lineage: Bacteria; Pseudomonadati; Elusimicrobiota; Elusimicrobia; Elusimicrobiales; Elusimicrobiaceae. RNAcentral also lists the same sequence under 1 other name.
GUCACCGUAGCUCAGAUGGUUAGAGCGGGCGUUUCAUAAGCGCCAGGUCAGUGGUUCGAUCCCACUCGGUGACA